Beta vulgaris subsp. vulgaris (sugar beet) is the source of this 2616-nucleotide long non-coding RNA. RefSeq lists it as uncharacterized. The transcript has 2 exons. Lineage: Eukaryota; Viridiplantae; Streptophyta; Magnoliopsida; Caryophyllales; Amaranthaceae. The record is from RefSeq and is a predicted model, not a curated record.
UUCUUCACUGAUUCAAAGAAUCAGUUCUUCAAACCCAAAAAAAAGAAACGAGCGAGGAGGGAGGGAAAACAGAGGAGGUCGAAGCAGGGGAGGCGAGCGAGGACGGUGGCACUGGCGGUUGUGGCGCGCCGGCAAGGUUCAGGCGAGGAGGGUGGUUUAGAAAGUGGGUGCGAGUGAGGAUGGUUUGGGCGCGGGCUAUAAAGGCGAGAACAGGAGCUGCGAAGGGGAGGUGUUUGGGCUGGCGGUCGAAAUUGGGUCCAGUGGUUCAGGUGGUUUGAGUAGGUGGUUCAGUUGGUUCGAGUGGUAGUUAAUGGCUGUGCGGUGGUUCAUAGAAACAAAGGAAGUGUUAAUGGUGGAUUGAAAUUUUUAUUUUUAAUUUUCAAAACAAAAUUCAGAAAUUGAAGCAAACCUUUGAAUUGUUUGCUUGAGCAAUUUAGGUGAAUGCAAUUCAGUAUUUAUAGAGGGGUGUUUGUCAGAAUUUGAGCUUUGGGUCAAGCUUCAUUAAUGGUGGAGGUGAGGUGAGCUUGGUGUUAGGCUAGCUUUUGAAAUUUUACCCCUUAAAAAUCUGAAAUUUCAUGAGAUAGGGUUCAAAGUCUCUAGCAUAGGCUUGGAUACAAUUAGUUCCUUGUUGCAAGUGAUGGAACUUAGCAAAGUUCUCUUGUACACAAUAAAUUGGUUACAAACACUAGCCCAUCAUGUUGAUGCCUACUUUCUAAGUUUUCAUGCAACCAACUUCACUCUUUUAUCCUCCGGAACUUGCUUAUAAUUAAAGACUCCCUCCACGGUUCUAAGCCAUUCUACAAACUCGUUAGUGUCAAGUUUGCCAUCAUAAUCAGGCAUAUCUACCUUCAUAUCACUAGAAGGACGAAAGUUAUUCCUUCUUGGACGCAAGGUUUCAUCACUACCUCCAUCUGAAUCAUCUUCUUCUUCUCUUUGAGUAGUGAGUCUAACUGAGAGUUGCCUCACUUGAUCUUAUAAUAAUGUCAUUCAAGCAUUACUUUCACCCUUUCUUCUUCAAGUAUUCUUAUUGUUUCACGCCAAUUGACAAGUGAUUAUCUCCAUAUCUCAUAGUUAAGGUUUGAAGGGUACGAGUGUUUUUAAGUGGUUUUUGUAUUUACAGUUUUUAGGAAAAGGUUGGGGCGAGGUUUAGGUUGUGUUUAUGGAUUAAUGGUGGGUGAAUAUGGUAGGAUUUAAGCUGAGUUCUGAUACCAUGAUGAUGUAUGCUCCUACAUACAAGUAGGAACACAAAAGUGUUAAGAUUAAACAAGCAAAGAAGAAUCGAAAGAACUCCUCUGUUUCAAUUCUAACUCUAAUUGAGAUACAAAUACACCACCUCAACGAAUUUAGAACCUCCUAAGAUCACAAACUAGCUUAGCCAAAGCUAAUUAAGCAAAGGACGAAUUCUCAAAGUUACCAAAACCAAGAAAUGAAAAGAAAGCAUUUGGUCGUGCUUAGGCGCCACUUUUAUAGGAACUAACUCCACUUUUGUAGGAACCAACUCUUAUUUUUCUUGUGCUUCUCUUGCUUGUGGGCGUGCUUUCAUAAUCCUAACAGCUUCAUACACGUUCUAUUACAUGACUCAACACUAAGCAAAGUUUUUAGAAAAACAAAACAGCAACAACAACCGACAACAACAAAGGAAAGAAGACUUAAGGCAUUGAAGCUGAAAUUAAUGGAAUUGAGCUUUAAAUAACUAGACUUAACAUGGACUCAUCAUUAAUGAACAAAGAAUGCAAAUGAAUUCAAAGUCUCUCGCAAAGUAGAAGCCACCAUUGUAAUUAGCUUCGGAUGCUUCGACAAAUAAGAUGAAGUAGAUGCAAAGGGUCCUCCAUCAACCAGCAACCACUGACGAUGUCCAUGAACCAUGCCACCACAUUUGCCAUUUCUAGUACAUUCAAUGAAAUGAUUGACAAACACAAUCAACCUUAAAAAUUUUGUAUUCAGCCUACAAAUUUUUGCAUUGAAAUGUCAAAGUAUAAACUUUAAUUAUGUUUUAAACGUUGUCAAAAUAUUAUUAUGGUCGAUCAAAAUUUCAUAAUAUGGUAAACUUUUAUAAUGAAAUAUAAAUUCGAUUAGCUAUUUGAUUCUGAUCACCCUCGCCAACAGUAGUCCGUCAAAAAUCAUCCUUCAUUGAACAAAAUUUCUAUUACAAUCAGAGGCUAAGGUUAAUCAUACGGAUACAAGAGGAAUAGUGAUUUACAGGUACAAGAACAUCAACAGGCUCCCCAAGUACUAAACACAUAAUACAUCCACACGUUUGUUUGCUGUAAUCUUUGUAAUACUUAUACUCAACUUUUAAAUCACUCAUCUGUAGCACAAUAGUAAACUAGAGUACCUCUUCUCACCCUGUUCUGUACCCAUUGCCGCUUUCUAUAUAAAUCAAGAUCCGAACCUUCUUCAUCUUACCAUAGAAGACUUGAAUGUGAGGUGAGUAAUGUUCUAGUCAUGGUCACUCAAAACAGAAAUAAUUGAACUUUAUGUCUAUCCAUCCGUCUAACUAGCUUGAAAAUUAAGAAAGAAAUGCAGUUUUUGAACCAGAAGCUCAGAAGAUCCAUAUAUAGGCUUGCUGUUGUUCAUCCAGUCUUUCUCCAAAAGCCCCAUUUUAGCACUAGCGUG